UUUCUGGGUUUUUAAACCCUAGCCCAGUGGUUUCCCAACACAAAACCGAACCCAAACCAACCUACCGGAUCGCCAUUCCUGACCGACUCCUUCGAAGUGACGUCAGCUUCCUGCAUCCGUUAACAGGCUUCAGCCGUCACCCGGUAUCCAUUGGUUUUUGAAUCCCUUUCUGCAAAGUGCAAACCUUGAAGCCUAAGUAACUCUAGAGUUCUCGAAACCUUUUUUCUCUUUCCUUACUCCUUUAACAUUCGCUGUUGUUGAAUUACGUUCCCUCUUCCUUCUGAUUCGAUUUGGCCGUUCAGAAGAGAAGAAGGGAUGGAUGAUAGCUGUGCCGUCUGCGCCGAACCUCUUGAAUGGGUCGCUUACGGACCUUGUGGUCAUCGCGAGGUCUGCUCGACCUGCGUUGCCCGUCUUCGAUUCAUAUGCGACGAUCGGCGUUGUUGCAUCUGCAAGACUGAAUGCAAAAUUGUCUUCGUCACGAAGGCUUUAGGGGAUUAUACGAGGAUGAUAACUAACUUCUCGGUCUUCCCAUCUGAUUCAUCGGAGGGUCAAGUUGGGACGUACUAUUACCAUGAGGACACACAGGCUUAUUUUGAUGAUUCAGAUCAUUACAAAAUGAUCAGAGCAAUGUGUAAGCUCUCUUGCAGUGUGUGUGACAAGAUGGGGGACGAAGGAAAGGACAACUCCCAGAGAAAGGCAAAGUUUAGAAACAUUGAGCAGUUGAAGAGCCAUUUAUAUCACCGUCAUAGAUUGUUUAUGUGUAGUCUAUGUUUGGAAGGAAGGAAGAUAUUUAUUUGUGAACAAAAGCUCUAUACUAGAUCGCAGUUGAAUCAACAUAUAAACACAGGAAAUUCUGAAGUGGAUGGCAGUGAAAGUGAAAGAGGUGGCUUUAUGGGUCAUCCCAUUUGUGAGUUCUGCAAACGUCCAUUCUAUGGGGAUAACGAGCUGUAUACACAUAUGUCUACUGAACAUUUUACCUGCCACAUAUGCCAAAGGCAGCAUCCAGGACAGUAUGAAUACUAUAAAGACUAUGAUAAUUUGGAGAUCCAUUUCCGUCGUGAGCAUUUCCUAUGCGAGGAUGAAGCCUGCCUAGUCAAAAAAUUCAUUGUUUUUCCAACAGAAUCUGAAUUGAAGAGGCAUAAUGCUAUUGAGCAUGGUGGGCAAAUGUCUCGUUCCAAGCGGAAUGCUGCCCUUCAGAUUCCAACUAGCUUCCGAUAUCGGAGAAGUAAUGAACAAGAUCAUCGUCGUGGAAGGGGUCGUGGGUUCCGUUCAGAAUCCUCUGAUGGUCAAAUUUCAAUAGCUAUUCAAGCUAGUUUGGAGACGGCCAAUGUGGAGAACACGAGCCAUGACCCUUCAUCCAACACACAAGUUUCGGAUCGUGCAGAGAGUACUGAACUUGGAACAUCCCCAGACCCCUUCGAAUCCUCUUUUCCUCCAGACACUACAACACACUCUGAGACUUCUUCAAGAUACCUUCAGGCACUGGGACAUUCAAGAAAUGCACCUUUACAAGAAUCCUCUUUUCCACCACUUCCUCUGGGACAAGUUAUCAAUCAACAGAACCCUAGGCAUGAAUCCGAAGGGACGGCUAAGACCACGAUGGCUGCUCGGCUUCGUCACCGCAACAAUGGCACUGUAAAUAUUCUCAAUUCAGCUCAGGCUUGGCCUGCAGCAAGAUAUGCAUCUAGUACUUCUACUCAGUUUAGGCCUCCAACUAAUGGACUUGUAUUACCUAGUCCCACCAUCCCUUCCCAGAGUAAGCUAGUCACAAAUGGUCCUGUACCGUCUAGUUAUGCAAGUUUCACUCAGGGUAUACCAGCAACAGUUCAUGGACUUGCAUCAGCUAGCUCUGCAAGUUCAUCAUGGAAUUCAGGUGUUGCUGGCAGGGUCAGCCUUUCUGCAUCAGCUCCUAAUCCAGUAGAGGUGGGAUCCUUGGACUCUUCCUUGUCUAAUUUUCCUCCUGUUUCUGCAGCACAAAAGCAUAAGUUACAAAAAGAUAGCCUGCCUUUGCCCGAUGUUGAAGAUGUUCAUACUGCAAACAAAUCUUUGGUGGAAAGGAUUCGUGAGGCCCUUGAAUUUGAUGAGAGCAAAUUCACUGCUUUCAAAGAGUUAUCAGCGGAGUAUCGUCAAGAUGUGAUUGAUGCGGAUGAGUAUCUAGCCUAUGCUCAGCAGUUUGGGUUGUCACAUCUGGUUCCUGAGCUAGCUAGACUCUGUCCUGAUGCUGGGAGGCAGAAAGUGUUGCUUGAAACCUACAAUGCCAAUCUGUGGAAUUCUACUCAACAAAAGGGACGGGACUUCAGCUCUGAUCACUCGAAAGACAUUAGAAGUAGGAACAAGGGCAAAGGCAAGGGCUUGGGUAAUGUGAACAGUAAUUCAAUGGAAACUUUGGUGAGGAGCAAGGGAAAAGGAAAGUGUUUGGAAGAUGGAAAUACUGAGGAAACAUUAGCCGACGGUAUCAUGAACACUGUAAAGAAACUGCAAUUAGGUUAUAAACCUCCUGAAGGGGAUGUUGAGGUUCUAUCAAAAGAUGGAUAUCGUGCUCCCGGUGUAAAACCAAAGGCAUUUGUUGAUGACCGGGUACGGUUGAGUGCUACCGUUUCAGAGCUUGCAGAGUCACCGAAUAAAACUGAUUCACAUUCUCCUGGUGGUGGUUUGAACCAAAAUUUGCCAACUGGGGGAGGAGGAAGUAAACAACGGAAGAAGACUUCAAAGUUUCAAAGAGUUCGUCUUGGUGAUGGAUCAGUGGCAGCUUUGUUAGACCUUAAGCAUUCUGGGCCCAGUUUGGACCAAGUUGAAGAGACAGGUAAUGGGAACAAGAGUUCCUCUGCUGAUAAUUUGCCAGUUCGUGGAGUUUGGCGAAAUGGUGGAGGGCAGAGACUUAUGCGGCAGGGAGGCAAGUGAUAGACAGCAAAGCUGAUUGAUUGGGAAGCCUUGUAGAGAAGCGCAAGCUUUUUGGUAACUGAGCUGGAGUUUCAUUGGAAUUAAUUUAUAUAUAGGAAAGCCAGAAGGUGGUUGCUUAGGCUUGGUGGAUCCUCUGGAUAUUAUUGUUUUCUGUUCUUCAUUCCUUCUGGCUGCAAGGAAGCAAGAAAUUUUAUGUUUUUGCACCUCUGUUUCUCUCUGUCCGUCUCUUGAUGUGUUUUCAGUAGCUCGACUGAGUACACAUUGGCAGGAAUUUUUGCCUUGCCAGAAUGGUUAGUGUUUCGAAGUUGCCAGUUUGUUCGUUGAAUCAUAUCAAUGCGGUAGUAUGUCGACAUUGAAUACAAUAGAUUUUCCUUCAUAUGAAAUCAAUCGGGUGAAUCACCCAUGCCAAGGAAUCGUUCAUCUCCCUUUCAGCACUAAAUAUUGCUUACUCUGUAAAGGAAUUAACUUUGCUAUUGUUUGUCCAUUUGACUCCCUUUCACAUUGAACUUCAGUAAUUUAACCGUUGUGCUGCAACCCAA
Molecule: RNA transcript, 3440 nt
Organism: Macadamia integrifolia
Lineage: Eukaryota; Viridiplantae; Streptophyta; Magnoliopsida; Proteales; Proteaceae
Gene name: E3 ubiquitin-protein ligase ZNF598-like
Exons: 8
Source: RefSeq, a predicted model, not a curated record